This 254-nucleotide ribosomal RNA is filed under the name uncultured bacterium. RNAcentral's name for it is "partial 16S ribosomal RNA". It matches the Rfam family "Bacterial small subunit ribosomal RNA", at positions 524 to 776 of the family's 1533-position model. The record is from RNAcentral.
GACGUAGGGUGCAAGCGUUGUCCGGAUUUACUGGGCGUAAAGAGCGCGUAGGCGGCUCAUUAAGUGUGAAGUGAAAUCUUCAGGGCUCAACCCGAAAACUGCUUUACAUACUGAUGAGCUUGAGGAAUGCAGAGGUUAGUGGAAUUCCUGGUGUAGCGGUGAAAUGCGUAGAUAUCGGGAGGAACACCAGUGGCGAAGGCGACUUCCUGGCCUGUUCUUGACGCUGAGGCGCGAAAGCUAGGGGAGCAAACGGG